AGCGAACGCUGGCGGCAGGCUUAACACAUGCAAGUCGAACGCCCCGCAAGGGGAGUGGCAGACGGGUGAGUAACACGUGGGAACGUACCCUUUGGUUCGGAAUAACUUGGGGAACCUCAAGCUAAUACCGGAUAAGCCCUUAUGGGGAAAGGUUUACUGCCGAAGGAUCGGCCCGCGUCUGAUUAGCUAGUUGGUGAGGUACUGGCUCACCAAGGCGACGAUCAGUAGCUGGUCUGAGAGGAUGAUCAGCCACACUGGGACUGAGACACGGCCCAGACUCUUACGGGAGGAAGCAGUGGGGAAUAUUGGACAAUGGGGGCAACCCUUAUCCAGCCAGGCCGCGUGAGUGAUGAAGGCCUUAGGGUUGUAAAGCUCUUUUACCCGGGACGAUAAUGACUGUCCCGGGAGAAUAAGCCCCGGCUAACUUCGUGCCAGCCGCCGCAGUAA
Molecule: ribosomal RNA, 447 nt
Filed under: uncultured bacterium
Lineage: Bacteria
Description: partial 16S ribosomal RNA
Rfam family: Bacterial small subunit ribosomal RNA
Source: RNAcentral